CCUACGGGGGGCAGCAGUGGGGAAUAUUGCACAAUGGGCGCAAGCCUGAUGCAGCCAUGCCGCGUGUGUGAAGAAGGCCUUCGGGUUGUAAAGCACUUUCAGCGGGGAGGAAGGCGGUGAGGUUAAUAACCUCAUCGAUUGACGUUACCCGCAGAAGAAGCACCGGCUAACUCCGUGCCAGCAGCCGCGGUAAUACGGAGGGUGCAAGCGUUAAUCGGAAUUACUGGGCGUAAAGCGCACGCAGGCGGUCUGUCAAGUCGGACGUGAAAUCCCCGGGCUCAACCUGGGAACUGCAUUCGAAACUGGCAGGCUAGAGUCUUGUAGAGGGGGGUAGAAUUCCAGGUGUAGCGGUGAAAUGCGUAGAGAUCUGGAGGAAUACCGGUGGCGAAGGCGGCCCCCUGGACAAAGACUGACGCUCAGGUGCGAAAGCGUGGGGAGCAAACAGGAUUAGAUACCCGGGUAGUC
RNAcentral lists this ribosomal RNA (465 nucleotides) under uncultured Klebsiella sp. RNAcentral's name for it is "bacterial SSU rRNA". It matches the Rfam family "Bacterial small subunit ribosomal RNA", at positions 338 to 795 of the family's 1533-position model. The record is from RNAcentral. Lineage: Bacteria; Pseudomonadati; Pseudomonadota; Gammaproteobacteria; Enterobacterales; Enterobacteriaceae.